AAGUCGUAACAAGGUUUCCGUAGGUGAACCUGCGGAAGGAUCAUUAAAUAAUCAAUAAUUUUGGCUCGUCCAUUAUUAUCUAUUUACUGUGAACUGUAUUAUUACUUGACGCUUGAGGGAUGCUCCACUGCUAUAAGGAUAGGCGGUGGGGAUGUUAACCGAGUCAUAGUCAAGCUUAGGCUUGGUAUCCUAUUAUUAUUUACCAAAAGAAUUCAGAAUUAAUAUUGUAACAUAGACCUAAAAAAUCUAUAAAACAACUUUUAACAACGGAUCUCUUGGUUCUC
Molecule: unclassified non-coding RNA, 284 nt
Filed under: Mucor circinelloides
Lineage: Eukaryota; Fungi; Mucoromycota; Mucoromycetes; Mucorales; Mucoraceae
Also listed under: 1 other name
Description: partial internal transcribed spacer region
Rfam family: Eukaryotic small subunit ribosomal RNA (bases 1-46)
Source: RNAcentral